ACCCGCUGAAUUUAAGCAUAUAAGUAAGCGGAGGAUAAGAAACUAAAUAGGAUUCCCUUAGUAAUGGCGAAUGAACAGGGAUGAGCUCAACAUGGGAAUUGGAGCUUCUGGCUCUGAAUUGUAAUCUCGAGAUGCAUCGCUAACGGCGGCGCAGGUGUAAACCUCUUGGAAAAGAGAAUCAGUGAGGGUGAGAAUCCCGUCUGUCACCUGCAGUCCUCUGUGUACGGCAUGCUUUCUAAGAGUCACGUUCCUCGGGAUUGGAGCGCAAACUGGGUGGUAAAUUUCAUCUCAAGCUAAAUAUGGGUUCGAAACCGAUAGCAAACAAGUACCAUGAGGGAAAGAUGAAAAGGACUUUGAAAAGAGAGUUAAAAGUGCCUGAACUUGCUGAAAGGAAAGCGGAUGGAACCAGUGUUGCUUGGCGAGAUUGUCGUAUGCUUCAGUGAUUGCUCUUUGCAUUAGCGCAAGCGGUGCUUGGGGUUUUUGAUCUGGCUGUGUGCGAUGUUUCUUGCCUUGUGUGUCAUCGCCAGUGUGGUGGUGUGGAUAACUCCAGGGACAUGGUAGCUUGUCUACGGGCGUGCGAAUGUGCUUGGUAGAACUCACCAUUGUACUGCUAAUCUGAUGUGAGGUCGUGCGGUGUCUAUUGCAACUGGGCGUUGAGGUUCUCCUCGGCGCUCCGUCUGUAAGCGGUGCCCCUUCCUGACUCAACUACGGUGACAAAAUGGUUCCAUUCGACCCGUCUUGAAACACGGACCAAGGAGUCUAACAUAUGUGCGAGUUCUUGGGUGUUAAACCUACGUGCGCAAUGAAAGUGAUUACUGAGAUAUUAGCAUCAGCAGCCGACCGAUCAAUUGGGAGAGGUUUGAGCAUGAGCAUAUCUGUUAGGACCCGAAAGAUGGUGAACUAUGCCUGAG
RNAcentral lists this ribosomal RNA (911 nucleotides) under Gymnodinium smaydae. RNAcentral describes it as "eukaryotic LSU rRNA". It matches the Rfam family "Eukaryotic large subunit ribosomal RNA", at positions 23 to 841 of the family's 3401-position model. The record is from RNAcentral. Lineage: Eukaryota; Dinophyceae; Gymnodiniales; Gymnodiniaceae.